RNAcentral lists this long non-coding RNA (843 nucleotides) under Hordeum vulgare. RNAcentral describes it as "long non-coding RNA (HVUL_LNC017088)". Lineage: Eukaryota; Viridiplantae; Streptophyta; Magnoliopsida; Poales; Poaceae. The record is from RNAcentral.
UCGCCUUCUUCCUCCGUUCGUCCUGCUGUCCUCCGACACUGCUCGGUCGACGAGACUCUUGCGUGCGUCUUUUCGUCUCGUCCUCCUUAAGUGGCAACCUCCAUCGGUCUGCCACCGUUGCCGCCAUCGGUUAUCCCUCUAACCUCAUCGUCAUCUCCCCCCCCCCCCCCCUAAAUCGGACCCAUACAAGUCAACCUUGGCUUUCGCUCGAUCAACAAACACCGCAACCACGUUGUGCCCAUUUUAGGUAUCUCUUUUCUUUUAACAAAGGAUCAUGACGAGUCUGGUUUUUAAUUAACAAAGCCAUCAACCGGUCAGAAAUUACGACACACGUCCAUAUUACAACAAUCAAACUAGUACAAUAGGGCACGCUGAAAGGCAAACCCGAACACCAACCUUCAAAAGCAUCUAAAAAAUGAAAAUGAAGAUUACAAUUGCUAGAAACCGAGCACUCCACACUAGGAUCAUCAGGAUAAGGGACGAAGAAGUAGAGUAGGCCAUUGCCACCAUUGAAAUGAAACUUGCUCUAGAAACACCUAUGAGCCGAGGGGACAACUUAAUCUUCCUUCUAUGUCAUCGAAGAGGGACCCUACCCCCUCGCCAUGGUUUGUAGGCGUCGUACCGUCGGGAUUUCAAAAAGCUCCCCCAAGAGCUAGAAGAGCGCGUCCCUCACAACGACAGGUGGACCCAGGACGACCACCUCGAAUUGGGAAUUGCCAUGCCCGCACCACCGUUACGAUUUUAGAUUGGCUCAGGUGUUGCCGGGACAUUGCGAUCAGCUGCAACACGCCCCCCCCCCCCCAACCCCUCCUUUCAAAAAAUCGAACAACGAGAAUUGCGAAU